This 345-nucleotide ribosomal RNA is filed under the name Spinomantis peraccae. Its description in RNAcentral is "partial 16S ribosomal RNA". It matches the Rfam family "Bacterial large subunit ribosomal RNA", at positions 2085 to 2597 of the family's 2925-position model. The record is from RNAcentral. Lineage: Eukaryota; Metazoa; Chordata; Amphibia; Anura; Mantellidae.
AAGACCCCAUGGAGCUUUAAACCCGACUACACCUCCACCUCUUAUACCCACAUAAUCAACGGAGUACUGUACAUCGGUUUUGGGUUGGGGUGACCACGGAGCACAAACUAACCUCCAUGAUGAAUAAGACUAACCCUUUAUCUAAGAGACACACCUCUNAGAAUUAGCACACUAACAUAAAAUGAUCCGAUAUUCGAUCAACGAACCAAGUUACCCUGGGGAUAACAGCGCAAUCCACUUCAAGAGCCCCUAUCCACAAGUGGGUUUACGACCUCGAUGUUGGAUCAGGGUAUCCUAGUGGUGCAGCAGCUACUAAAGGUUCGUUUGUUCAACGAUUAAAACCCU